GAUGAACGCUGGCGGCGUGCCUAAUACAUGCAAGUCGAGCGAACGGACGAGAAGCUUGCUUCUCUGAUGUUAGCGGCGGACGGGUGAGUAACACGUGGAUAACCUACCUAUAAGACUGGGAUAACUUCGGGAAACCGUAGCUAAUACCGGAUAAUAUUUUGAACCGCAUGGUUCAAAAGUGAAAGACGGUCUUGCUGUCACUUAUAGAUGGUUCCGCGCUGCAUUAGCUAGUUGGUAAGGUAACGGCUUACCAAGGCAACGAUGCAUAUCCGACCUGAGAGGGUGAGCGGCCACACUGGAACUGGGACACGGUCCAGACUCCUACGGGAGGCAGCAGUAGGGAAUCUUCCGCAAUGGGCGAAAGCCUGAUGAAGCAACGCCGCGUGAGUGAUGAAGGUCUUCGGAUCGUAAAACUCUGUUAUUAGGGAAGAACAUAUGUGUAAGUAACUGUGCACAUCUUGACGGUACCUAAUCAGAAAGCCACGGCUAACUACGUG
This 497-nucleotide ribosomal RNA is filed under the name uncultured bacterium. RNAcentral describes it as "partial 16S ribosomal RNA". It matches the Rfam family "Bacterial small subunit ribosomal RNA", at positions 28 to 507 of the family's 1533-position model. The record is from RNAcentral.